RNAcentral lists this ribosomal RNA (462 nucleotides) under uncultured Oscillospiraceae bacterium. RNAcentral's name for it is "bacterial SSU rRNA". It matches the Rfam family "Bacterial small subunit ribosomal RNA", at positions 53 to 507 of the family's 1533-position model. Lineage: Bacteria; Bacillati; Bacillota; Clostridia; Eubacteriales; Oscillospiraceae. The record is from RNAcentral.
ACUGCAAGUCGACGGAGUACCCGUCGUAAGGAAGUUUUCGGUACGAACUAGAUAGGACUACUUAGUGGCGACGGGUCGAGUAACGACGUGAGUAACCUGCCUUGGAUGGGAGUAACAGACUGGAACAGCUGCUAAUACCGCAUAAUAGCAUGGUCGGCAUGGCUCUGACUGCCAAAGAUUUAUCGCUCUGAGAUGGACUCGCGUCUGAUUAGCUAGUUGCGGGGUAACGGCCCGACCCAAGGCGACGAUCAGUAGCCGGACUGAGAGGUUGGCCGGCCACAUUGGGACUGAGACACGGCCCAGACUCCUACGGGAGGGCAGCAGUGGGGAAUAUUGGGCAAUGGGCGCAAGCCUGACCCAGCAACGCCGCGUGAAGGAAGAAGGCUUUCGGGUUGUAAACUUCUUUUCUCAGGGACGAAGAAAGUGACGGUACCUGAGGAAUAAGCCACGGCUAACUACGUG